This 379-nucleotide ribosomal RNA is filed under the name uncultured bacterium. RNAcentral describes it as "bacterial SSU rRNA". It matches the Rfam family "Bacterial small subunit ribosomal RNA", at positions 425 to 793 of the family's 1533-position model. The record is from RNAcentral.
GUAAAGCACUUUCAGUCGUGAGGAAGCGGGUACGUUAAUAGCGUAUUCGUUUGACGUUAGCGACAGAAGAAAGCACCGGCUAACUCCGUGCCAGCAGCCGCGGUAAUACGGAGGGUGCGAGCGUUAAUCGGAAUUACUGGGCGUAAAGCGCAUGCAGGUGGUUUGUUAAGUCAGAUGUGAAAGACCCGGGGCUCAACCUCGGAAUAGCAUUUGAAACUGGCAGACUAGAGUACUGUAGAGGGGGGUAGGAAUUUCAGGUGUAGCGGUGAAAUGCGUAGAGAUCUGAAGGAAUACCGGUGGCGAAGGCGGCCCCCUCGGACAGAUACUGACACUCAGAUGCGAAAGCGUGGGGAGCAAACAGGAUUAGAUACCCUGGUAG